UCCCAGGUGGCUUAGUGGUAAAGAACCUGCCUGCCAAUGCAGGAGACCUGGGUUUGAUCCCUGGGUUGGGAA
Molecule: transfer RNA, 72 nt
Filed under: Bos taurus (domestic cattle)
Lineage: Eukaryota; Metazoa; Chordata; Mammalia; Artiodactyla; Bovidae
Also listed under: 3 other names
Rfam family: tRNA
About the family: Transfer RNA (tRNA) molecules are approximately 80 nucleotides in length. Their secondary structure includes four short double-helical elements and three loops (D, anti-codon, and T loops).
Source: Rfam by way of RNAcentral